RNAcentral lists this long non-coding RNA (43602 nucleotides) under Triticum aestivum (bread wheat). Its description in RNAcentral is "long non-coding RNA (TAES_LNC013491)". Lineage: Eukaryota; Viridiplantae; Streptophyta; Magnoliopsida; Poales; Poaceae. The record is from RNAcentral.
UGGCUCGUAGGUGCUCGUUACCACAUCGGGCCGGAAAUCAUUUCGAAACCAUUGGAGAACCAAAAGAAGGAAGCAAAACCACUGGAGUACUACUAAAUUUAGGAGUGAGACCAUGUACAAAUUGGGGUUAGCCUUGUGUUCUUUAUCGUAUUUGCUUUGCGUGGAUUGUGGGGCAAGAAUAUGUUUGUGUGUGCAAUUAACAACACCGCAUCUCCUUUUUUCUUCCUUCUUUCUUUUAGCGAGCGCUAGUGGUAGUAAAGGCGAUCGGACGAGCGGGAUUUGUUGGACUAAUGCGGCACGAAAUGCUUUAAGGACGCACCUUUUAAAUUACGGCGAUAUUCGACCGGUCCAUUCACUCCACUGAUCCGGCCCAAAGCGCCGGCAGCAAUCAUGCAUUCAACCUCGAUCCCAUAUUCCGGCCGGUUGAUUAAUUUGAUCUUCUCUUUUUAUAUGAUGAGGCUGGGGUUACAUAUUCUUAUUCGUCCUUGGAAAUUAGUUGAACUUUACAAUUUCAAUCCUUACAAAUUAGAGCUGGAGCCAGUUGAAAAUAUCACGCGCUCAGCUCGCGAAUAGGUACGUACGUAGGGCUGUAGCGAGACGGCCAGGAGGGGGAGGGCGAAAGCGACGUGGACUGUACAAAAAGCGGGGCUGCUUGUUGUAAGAGAGAUCCGUGCCUGUAUCGCGCGAUCGGUCGCCAUCGUCGCUGGCUGGCCCGGACGAGCGUGCGCCGCUUGCGUGCGUUCGGGCCGGGUCGCUGGCUCGGCGGUGGAAUAUUUUGGGCGCGUCCGCCUCGUCGGGAGCCCGUUGGCGUGGAUCGUCCGUCCGUCGCUGAGACAUGCAUGCAUGGGAGGGGAGGGGAGGGACGAGAGGACAGCGGAGUGGUUGCGCGCGUGUAAAUGGCGCCAUGUUUACGUACGUUUUGGCCGGGGUGGGGAGAGCGUCGUACCGCGAGGAUAAGGCGAGAUCCCGAGCCGCUGCCUCCCUCCUCCCCGAUGCUCCGUCGCCGUGUGAGUUAUUGCGACUGCUGUGCUGUGUGUGUGUGACACCUUGCCUUGGUCCGUCGUGGAGGACAGUGCGUGCGUGCGUGCGUGCAUGCAUGCGCAUGAGCGAAAUGGAGAGACUGUGUGUGGGAUAUAGCUGUAGAAGUGUGAGGUGGAUGCACGAGACGACCAUGCCAUAGACGGAGGAGAUGGGUGAUGGCUGUGGUGUACGACUAUAGGACAACUAGCUUUCUUUUUGAGAGAGAGAGAGGACUGGUGGUACAACUCUACUAGUAUUUCAUUUUGAUGAUGGAGUACGUCUGGUCAGGACUACGGACAAAGACUAAGCUUGUUGACCAUCGUCCGUGUUAGCGGGGAUUGGAUCCUUGUUUUCGGGUUUUCCUAACCUAUUCGCCCAUGCGUUAUCAACGUGUUCCCUCCAGGAGGAGCCUUCUACUAGGUCGUGUCGUGCGUAUACUGUUCCUACUGUAUGGUAGUAUAAAGGCAUUUCCAACGCUGACCUUCAAACCGCCGCGUACGUCCGGAAAGCGCGGUCCAUACCCCGGAAGCCAUCCAAUACGGACCUGUAUCGGUUCGCCAAGCGGUCCGGGUCAUGUUUUUCCCAUAAACUGAAACCAAACAUAGGGGGCUUUGCGGGAGUACGGACAUGAGACACGUCGAACUCGUACACCCAUGGCCCACUCAAAAGGAAGGCAGAGUCCAUCCUUUUGUAGCAUCCCCCGCACCGUUUCCUUGCUAAAAUCCCCAAUUCUCUUCUUCCAUCCCAUCGCUUUUCACCCAAUUCCCGUCCUUUUCUCCCACUUUCUUCUUCGCUGCCGCCGACGCAUGGAACCGAACGAGGACCUGCCGGAGAUAGAGGUGGUGGAUGUGCAGGAGGAUCCGAGCAUCACCCUUGCCCGGAAGAUCAACUCGGUGACACGGCAAAAUCGCCGCGUCAAAGCGAAGGUCGCAAAGAAGGAAACACUCAUGAAGCAGAAGGCGGACGGAGGGCGUGCUGAUGGCGUCCGUCGCGGUCGGCGUGCUGGUCGCAGACGUGGUUGAGGUCGCGGAGCCAUGAUGGUGGCGCCCAUCCUCCAGACACCGCCAUGGCCGGAGCAUUACAAGGCUCCAUACUACUAUGCCGUCAAGCAGCUCAGCAGCCAAUCCACGGCAACCACCGUCGGGCAAGUGCCUUACAUCGUCAACGUAAACGCGGCGCCGCUGCUCUUCUCAGAGUCUUCUUCGCCGCAGCUCGUCCGGGCAUGGACCGUGGGCGGGGAGCACAUGGGUGCCCGUGCGCUAUUCGCUGCUAUGCCUAAAGCGGGGGAGAAGGCGUACAACGACGCGGAUAGGAAGAUGUUCGACAUCAUCCACUAUGGACGCGGAGGAGGAGGAGGUUAUUAGGACGGGCAGGUGGAAGACUCGGAUGCCACCCAGUCCGGCAACUACACCCACAUGCAUCAGGGCUACACCCAGACCAGCACACAACGGACGGGCAUACAACAUCAGGAUUGGGCCGCCGGACAGGCGGAGGAGGAGGUGGAGGAGGAUGAGGACGGCGAAGACGAUGAUCCAGAUGAUUUUGCCGGCGAUCCGAAGAAGAAGGGUAGAUGAGAAAUCUUCAACGAGGUAGGAGGACGAGCUGUUGUGCGAUGCAUGGUUGGCCACUAGCCUCGAUCCGAUCCAUGACACGAAGCAGAAGGGCUCAACUUUUUGGGCCAACAUUCACACAUGGUUCCAGGAACACAAACAUUUCGCGCCCUACUCCGACGCGGUCAUCAGCACCCAUGGACCAAAGCCCCUCAACCAUUGACGGGACACCAUCCAAGAGGUCGUGUCAAAAUAUUGUGGCCAUUUGGCGCAUCUCAUCGCAUGGUGGCCUAGUGGUGCCCCAAUCACCGAGCAAGUAAGUUCAUUUGGCCGGACAUGCAUAGUUUUGUAGCCGGAUAUGCAUAGUUUUUUUAUCAUUGGCCGGAUAUGCAUAGUUUAGUUGAUCACUAGCCAGAUAUGCAUAGUUUUCCGAUCACUUACUGGAUAUGCAUAGUUUUGUUGAUCAUUUGUCGGAUAUGCGGAGCUUUGUAGCCGGAUAUGCAUAGUUUUGUUGAUCAUUUACCGGGUAUGCACAGUUUUGUAGCCGGAUAUGCAUAGUUCUACUAAUCAUUGGCCGGAUAUGCACAGUUUUGUAGCCGGAUAUGCAUGGUUUUGCCGAUCAUUUGCCGGAUAUGCAUAGUUUUGUAGCCGGAUAUGCAUAGUUUUGUUGAUCAUUGUCCGGAUAUGCAUAAUUUUAUUGAUCACUAGCCGAAUAUGCAUAGUUUUAUUGACAAUGUUUUAUUUUGUAGCCUUCUUGUGCAUGUGCGGUGUUCACGAAGUUGGAAAAGAAAAACUUCACCGUACACGCACUAGAAGGCUACAAAAUAAUUUGCCUCCUUGUGUUUUGGAGAUUGUUGACAUAAAAAGUGUGGGACUAACGCGUUUGCUAGUGCACACUAAGUGACAAGUCCCUGAAAUCAUGUGGAGUUUGGAACAAACUCCAAAGAUAAUCUCCUGCGGGGCAGGAGGAUUAUCACCGAAGGUUAUGCCUGUCGAAAGUGAACCUCUAAAAUUGUUGACCCAAAGCAUUUGGUUCAGUGUUUGCCCGAAGAAAUUGGCAGCACCCUAGAAGUUUGAAGAUGGAGAAAUGACGUAGUAUUUUCUUUCGUUGUUCUUCUUCUCUUUCUUGAGUCAUAGGACCACCGUACUAUUAAGAGGGGUACAAUGAACUUAUGGUUCUCUGAAGCUAAACCAAAACCUAUGUGAGUUGAGAGAAAUCUCUUUGUGCUCCGAAUUUAUACUCGCUAGCAAGAGACGUAGUUCUUCUUUGUUGCAAGAGAUUUGAUUCAGACCGUGGAGUUAGCAUUACGUGCUUCGCAAGUAAUGUUACGGUUGUGCCUAAGAAUCCGACCACUGGUUAUGUGUCGGUUGAGCAUUGGUCGAGCGGUCAUGUCCAAAAUGGUCCUUUCCCAUCAGGAAGACCGCGGCUAUAAAUAGCCCACCCCUUCCAACGUGCACCGUGGGCUGCUCCAUUUGAUUUCUGAGAAGAUUGUGAGAGCACCCUCUCUCCCGAGUCAUUUGAGUUUAAAAUCCACCGAGAGAAAAACCCCAGAGCCAAAAAAUUAGAUAGUGGUUUAGCAUGUCGAAACUAAGUCCAGUAUGCUCCGCCUAUUAAUCUUGAGAGCUGAAAAUUCUCUAGAGGUUAGCUGCCAAGUCUUUCAAUGACCAGUAGUAAUUUUGGUUAACGAAGCCAAAGUCUAUACAGGUUCGGAGAUUGCCUCAAGUAUCUACCACGAGUGAUCGACACUGAUUGACGAAUCAGUUGUUGAGGAGAAUAGGGCGCAGAGAGUUUAUCUUCUGUAUUCAAUCACGAACCCCUCCAACCAGAUGUAGUCCAUUUGCAGAAGGGCGAACUGGUCUACCAAAUCAUUCAUCAGCAUCGAGCAUCAUUGGUCAUUUCUUCACUCUAUUUACCUUCGUUCAUCAGUUGUGAAAUAUGUCUCGACCAUGUGAUUGAUUCUCGUUGCCUGUUGUAAUUCUCGUUCGAUAGUUAUUUCUCGUUCUCUGUUCAUUGGUUGCUUUCAUCCUGCUGCUGGGUUCCAGAGAUUUGAAGUUUUUGAAAGAAAAUUUUAAUCUCCCAUUCACUCCCCCCCUCUCUGGUAGACAUACUUCGUUCUUACAGGACACAUACAUGGUAGCAUUGGAGGGCCGCUUCCCGCACCCUUGUCCGCGGACGAAUGCCGGUGUAAAUUUGCGAGUAAGUGUUGAAGAUGCCCUAACAUACUCCCUCCAUUCCGAAUUACUUGUCUCAGAUUUUUCUAAAUACAGAUGUAUCUAGACAGGUUUUACUGUUAGAUAUAUUUAUAUCUAGACAAAUCGGACAAGUAGUUUGAGACGUAUGUAAUAUUAGGGUGUACACGGUAAUGGCAAGAUGAUGAUUAGAUGAUGUGUGUUUCGACAAACGAUUUAAAUUGCUAGUCCUAUAUAGCAUUUCGGGAGACUAAAAGCAAAUUGUUGUACUCUGUACCGCUACCCUAGCUACGACCGCUACAGUGCCAUAUAGGUGCACUGUUUAGCAUACAUCGCUGUCAAUAUAGCUAAAGCUAUUAUCUCGUAUACACCUAAAUUUAAUAAAAGAACCGAUGUAUAUAACUAACUAACAUGAAAAACUAGAAACCCUAAUAGCAUAGAGUCCAAUCUUUCUUGAGAGGUUGUUUUAUAUUGGAUGUUCGACGGGUUGGUGACUACUUCAAGGUGACUCUCACUAACACUCAUCAUGUCACAACCAAGUGAGAAAAUAAACCAUCUACCCAUAUGUUGGUUAGUUAUAUAUAUAUACAUAUAUAUAUAUAUAUAUGUUUGGAUUCUCAGACCUUAUUUGGCUUGUAUUUUAACAUUGGGUUUUCUAUUUCUGUGCCCCUCCUUCCUUAGUUGUGCUUAGUUUUGCCCAACCCUCUAACUUUUGCUCACUUUUUCCCUCCACCACUCGCCCCGUGCUUACAAAGAUCCAAAUGAAGCCUUGUUGUCUGGUCAAAGCAAUUGACCGUUACCUCCUCAGUUACUAGCGCGUGGGGAUGGAGAUCUUUGGACAGGUGGGCCACGUAUGACAGGUGGGUCGUGGCCAUGAUAGCUUAUGACAAGUGGGACCUAGCUCAUUGACCUAUCCCUUUCUUUUGCCUAAAUCAGCCCGACCCAGAGUGAGCCGUCGCAUCCCCCAUCCAGCCCCACUCCACUGUCGUGCCCCCUCGCAGCCCCGCCACCCAAUCCGUAGCCUCGCCGGCUACUCCGACCGUCUGCCUGAGCUCUAAUGGUGUAGCGUCGUGGUGCGAACGGUCAGCCCUUCCUCCCAAAUGCCAGAACCAUUCGAGUUCGUUGACUGACCGGUACAUUUCUAAUCCAAACCCUAGCAAUUAGGAUUUGGUUAUAAUUCGAUUGAAUGGGCGACUAAGCGAUUGAAUUGGCAUGCGUUGAGUUGCUCCAGUUAGCAAUCAGUGUGGACGUCUAUUUAGGAUUGGAUCCUGCCAGCGGUACUAGUGGCAGCUAGUUUUGAAAUACAAAACCCUAGAAAUUAGGUUUUGUUGAAUGCAGCCCAUUUUAGAUUGUUUUGUGGUGAAUUUGAUCUGAAUAAUUGAAUUCAUUUUUAAUUCUUUGAUUUGCAAUUGGUGUUUGAUUGAUGGCAAGUAGGUCGAAGCUGGAAGAGGGCAAUGGAUUUGUUUUGCGCGGGGGUGAGCUUUUGCUGGCCAAGUGCAAGGAGAUAUGCUCCUGGUUUUCGAGCGCAAAAUCUCUUGUGAUGGACUCGCUGGGCCUGGCGUUGGAACUGAAGACGGACGAGUGGAAGCUGUUACUUCCUAAAGGCAAGGAGGCAGUCCCAAUUGAGAUUCUCCUGUGGCCAAUGGCAGAGGCGAUGGAGUCUCCAUAUCGUCGACAGCGAGCCCAUUGGUACAAGUACAGCUCCCGUCUCUCCUUGCCGAAUCCAGAGGAGGGAGGGCUGGUGAAUUUGUGUAUUAUCCAGGUCGUCGAUGAGGUGAUGGAGGAGGAGGAUAGCAACGAGGAGGAGGAUGAAGAAGAGGAGAGCUACCAGGGAGGGAUGCAAAUUAUCACAGAUGAGGAUGCACAACAUGAGGGCUAUUAGGAGGGUUUGGAGAUCAUCACUCAUCCUGCUUAGGAAGGCAUGAAUCUAGCGAUUAAUUUUGAUGGAGAGGAUGAGCAGAUGGUAGAUCAUAAGCACUUGGAGGCUGAUGCCGGCAAUGAUCUAGCGCUAGUCACCGUGGACGCCCAUGCUCACUGCCAGCAUGCCCCAAUAGAGGUGGAGUAGUAUGAGUUCUCAUUGCGGUUUGAGAAAAACGUUGAACGCUCUCACCGUCGCCUGGCUCGCAAUCUUAAGCAUCUCCAAACCGCACCUAGCUAGUUCUGACGAUCCGACAUGUGGAUGCACUAACUGCAAAGAGUGUUAUGUUGGUGUAUUUAAUCAGCACUUGAAUGCUAUGUUUUGGAUUUCCUACAUUGAGUGGGUUUUGCAUGUUCAAACAUAGUGCCACAUGCAGAACUGGCCAAAAAUAGCAACAUGCAAAACCUACCAAAAACAACAUCAUUCAAAACUUACUUAAAAUGGGGUCAAACUUGCAAUGUUGACUUUUCAAAACUUGUGGUAUUGCAAGUUUAUGAUUUUCCCCACAAACUAGUUGACACAAAAGGGCCCCAUGCCCAAGGAUUUUAAUGUGUUUAGGCUUUUUUCAUUUUCUUUGAUUUUUCCAAUCUUGGGUCAAACUUGCAAUGUUGAUCAUUCAUACCAAAUGGCUUGGAAUUUGAACUUUAGUUGUGCCCACUGCAUACACCACCAAUGCAAAAGAUUAAAAUGAUUUUAUCCAAUUUUCAGGACCAAACUACGUCACACUUGUAGUUCAAAUUUGAGCAAUUCGCCAUAAUUCACUAUAAAUCUAGUAAAUCGAUGAAAUAUAGCAAUAGUACUCUGAAAUUCAUGAAACUUGGUUAGCGGGCUUCUAAUGGUCCACUUUAGGGGGGAAAUGAGAAGACCCAAUGUUACAACUUAUUUCAAGCACUUCCUUCAGAAAACAAAUCAUUUCUCGCACUUGAAAAAUGGAAAUAAUAUUUUUUUUAGCAAAAAAAUGUUUUUUUGUUGGGAAACGUAGCAUGCAAUUUAAAAAAAAUCCUACGCUCACGCAAGAUCUAUCUAGGAGAUGCAUAUCAAUGAGAGGGGGAGAGUGUGUCUACGUACCCUCGUAGACCGAAAGCGGAAGCGUUUGACAAUGCUUUUGAUGCAGUCGAACUUCUUCUUGUUCCGACCGAUCAAGCACCGAACGUACGGCACCUCUGAGUUUUGCACACGUUCAACUCGAUGACGUCCCUCGAACUCUUGAUCCAGCAAAGUGUCGAGGAAGUAGAUGAGUUUCGUCAGCACGACGGCGCGGUGACGGGGAUGGUGAAGUGAUCCACGCAGGGCUUCGCCUAAGCACUACGAGAAUAUGACCGAGGGUGUAAUCUGUGGAGGGAGGCGCCGCACACGGCUAACAGAUGUUGUUGUGUGUUCUAGGUGCCUCCCCCCUCAUAUAUAUAGGUGGGAGGGAGAGGGAGCAGCCAAGGGGGCACCCCAAGUAGGAGGAAUCCUACAUGGGGGGCUAGUCCAAUUCGCCCCCCUUACCAUAUUUUCCGGAGGGGGAAGGAAGGAGGAGGGAGGAGGGAAGGAAGGGGGAGGCUGAAUCCCUCCCCUUCCUUCUCUCUUCCCCUCUUUCCUUCCCCUUCUGGUUUGGCCCAUAUGGGGGGCGCAGCAGCCCCUGCUGGCUGCUGCAUUUCUCCUCUUGGCCCAUUAGGCCCAUAUCUUUGCCGGGGGUGCCCGGAACCCCUUCCGGUGACCCGAUAUGUACCCGGUACCCUCCGGAACACUUUCAGUGUCCGAAUACUAUCGUCCUAUAUAUCAAUCUUUACCUCUCGGGCAUUCUGAGACUCCUCGUCAUGUCCGUGGUCUCAUCCGGGACUCCGAACAACAUUCGGUCACCAAAUCACAUAACUCAUAUAAUACAAAAUCAUCAUCGAACGUUAAGCGUGCGGACCCUACGGGUUCGAGAACUACGUAGACAUGACCGAGACACUGAUGACCACAAGUAUCGGGGAUCAAUUGUAGCUCUUUUUGAUAAGUAAGAGUGUCGAACCCAACGAGGAGCGGAAGGAAAUGACAAGUGGUUUUCAGUAAGGUAAUGUCUGCAAGUGCUGAAAUUGUAAGUAGCAGAGUAGUUUGAUAGCAAGAUAAUUUGUAACGAGAAAGUAACGAUAGUAGUAACAAAAGUGCAGCAAGGUAGCCCAAUAAUUUUGAGGCAAAGGACAGGCCAAAUCGGUCUCUUAUAAUAAGCAAAGAAUUCUUGAGGGUACACGGGAAUUUCAUCUAGUCACUUUCACCAUGUUGGUUUGAUUUGUGUUCGCUAUUUUGAUAAUUUGAUAUGUGGGUGGACCAGUGCUUAGGUGCUGUUCUUACUUGAACAAACCUCCUACUUAUGAUUAACCCUCCCGCAAGCAUCCACAACUACGAGAAAAGUAUUAAAAAUAAAUUCUAACCAUAGCAUUAAACUUUUGGAUCCAAUCGGUCCCUUACGGAAUAGCACAUAAAAUGGGAUUUAAGCUUUUAUCACUCUCGCAACCCAUCAUCUAAUUGCAACUCCACAAUGCAUUCCCUUAGGCCCAAAUAUGGUGAAGCGUCAUGUAGUCGACGUUCACAUGACACCACUAAGGGAAUCACAACAUACAUACUAUCAAAAUAUCGAACACAUAUCAAGUUCACAUGAUUACUUGCAACAUGAUUUCUCCCGUGACCUCAAGAACAAAAGUAACUACUCACAAAUGAUAAUCAUGCUCAAGAUCAGAGGGGUAUUAAAUAGCAUAUUGGAUCUGAACAUAUAAUCUUCCACCAAAUAAACCAUAUAGUAAUCAACUACAAGAUGUAAUCAACACUACUAGUCACCCACAAGCACCAAUCUAUAGUUCCGGUAACAAGAUUGAACACAAGAGAUGAACUAGGGUUUGAGAUGAGAUGGUGUUGUUGAAUAUGUUUAUGAAGAUAGCCCUCCCCAAGAUGGGAGACUUGUUGGUGAUGAUGAUGACGAUCAUUUCCCCCUACAGGAGGGAAGUUCCCCCGGCGGAAUCGCUCUGCCGGAGGGCAAAAGUGCUCCUGCCCAAGUUCCGCCUCGAGACAGCGGAGCUCCGUCCGGAAAGUCCUCUCAUUAUUUUUUUCUAGGUCAAAAUGACCUAUAUACCAGAAGAUGGGCACCGGAGGUGGGCCUGGGUGAGCACCUAGUGGGCCCCCUCUAGUAGUUAUUUGCUCCAAUAUUCAUCAUAUAUUUGAUAAAAAAUCUCCGUGAAGUUUCAGCUUGUUUGGAGUUGUGCAGAAUAGGUGGCCUGACGUAGCUUUUCCAGGUCCAGAUUUCCAGCUACCGGAAUUCUCCCUGUUUGUGUAUACCUUGCAUAUUAUUGGAGAAAAGGCAUUAGAAUUACUCCAAAAAGCAUUAUUAUGGAUAAAAACAUCAUAAAUAACAGUAGGAAAACACGAUGCAAAAUGGACGUAUCAACUCCCCCAAGCUCAGACCUCGCUUGUCCUCAAGCGAAAACCAAAAUCGAAAAACAUGUCCACAUGCUUAGAGAGAGAGGUGUCGAUAAAAACAAAAUACAGACAUAGAAGCAUUAUGUUCAUUAUUAUAAAAGCAACAAACUUAAACAUAUUAUCAUAGAACUUCUAUCAUAUAGUUCUCAUGAAUAAGUAACAGUUCAUCACACAAUAGAAGUAUAAAGAAAAAACUCUAUUAGAAACCAACAAACUAAGUUCUUAAUCAACUUUGCAACUACAAUUUAUCAUCUUUUCAGGAAGGGUCACGUAUCGGAGCCUUUAGGAAAGUCCACAUAGUCAACCAUCAUAUAGUCUUCUAUGAUUGCUAACACUCACCGCAUACACAUGAGCAAAACGUUUCAACUGGACACAUAAGAGGAUAGGGGCUUAUAGUUUCGCCUCCCAAUGUAUUCACCUCAAGGGUGAUGUCAACAAUAAUAACUCAUGCCACCCAUAUUCAACUGGACAUAUGUGCCUAGAUCUUUCCUCACCACAUGAUGCUUGCCAAAGGAGAAAAUAAAAAGGAGUAGAGAGAAAACUUUGACUCUUUGCAUAAAAGUAAAUACAUAGAAGUAAAAGAUAGUCCCUUUGCAGAGGGAAGCAGAGGUUGCCAUGCACUUAUUUUUUUGUAUGCUCAACCCCUUAGUGCAAAAGAACGUCACGUUGCAUUGUCCCUUGUGAUAGCGACCUUUAUUAUGCAGUAUGUCACUUUUAUUCUUCACCAUCAAAAGUUCGUGCAACGCUCAAUUUUCUCUUACACUAAAUGAUCUCACACAUUUGGAAGCAAUUUUUAUUGCCUUUUUGCACCGAUGACAACUUACUUGAGGGGUCUUUCUCAAUCCCUAGGUAGGUAUGGUGGACACUUGAAAAUAAGAUUUGGGCUUAAGGGUUUUUAGAUGCACAAGUAGGAUCUCUACUUAGUGCAGAAUUUUUGGCUAGCAAAGAUAGUGGCAAACACCACAUGUUAAAGGAUCUAUGACAAUAUGACUUCUAUGUGAGUAUGAAUAAACAUAAAUCAUUAAGUUGUCUUCCUUAUCCAACGUCAACAAUUUUGGCAUAUAAUAUUUUGAUGGGGGCUCACAAUCACAAAAGAUUUCUAGGAUAGUAUAUUUAUAUGUGAAUCUUCUCUUCCCUUAUUAAUUCUUUCAUGAGUUGCAUCGUUGACUAAUGCUAUGUUUGUUAAUCUCUAAUAAUAUUUUCUACUAAUACUUUCCCUUAUGUGGUGCCAUCACCUACCAUAAGAUUAGUAUAUGAUCUUCUUGAUUUAUUUCCUUUCUUUUAUUUAUAUCUUUUCCUUUAUUUAUUUCUUUUCUUUUAGUUGCAACAAGUAAAGAAAGCAAAAACUCAAACUAAACUUUAUUAUAUAUCUUGCACACGAUUACAAGGAUAGAUCACUAAGCAAAAUCUCAAAGAAGAAAGGAUCGAACUAAACUUUUAUUCAAUCUAAAGCAAAAGAUCAAACUAAAAUAAGUAAAGGCAAAAAGAUACUGGGGAUGAUACGAUACCAGGGCACCUCCCCCAAGCUUGGCGGAAGCCAAGGGGAGUGCCCAUACCCUAUACUCAAUUUUCCUUUGGUGGUGAAUAAGAUGGUGGUGGUGGUGACGAAGAAGUAGAGGGUUUGCUCUUCUUUUCCUCCAACUUCUGUCGGAGAAUAAAAUUAUCUGUCCUCAACUCGUCGUUAUCUAUCUCGAGUUUUAUUAUCCUCUUGCAUAACGCAUCCAUGCUUUCGUUUGGAACCGGGGAGGAACCGAUUCAUCUUCAUCCUCCUCAGAGGUCCAGCUAUAGUGCUCCACAUCCCCAUAGGACUUGGGGUUUGCGAUGAAAUCAGCAACAUAGCUCUCUCCCUCGGAGUCUUGGGACGACAUACUUUCAGAUCUUCAUACCUAGUUAAAUAUCGUUACUGGCAAGUCUCUUUACUCGUUCCUUAAUACAUCAUUGUCGGUGUCAAAACCGGCAGAUCUCGGGUAGGGGGUCCCGAACUGUGCGUCUAAGGUCGAUGGUAACAGGAGACGGGGGACACAAUGUUUACCCAGGUUCGGGCCCGCUCUAUGGAGGUAAUACCUGAUGACCCACAAGUGUAGGGGAUCUAUCGUAGCCUUUUCGAUAAGUAAGAGUGUCGAACCCAACGAGAAGCAGAAGGAAAUGACAAGCAGUUUUCAGUAAGGUAUUCUCUGCAAGCACUGAAAUUAUAGGUAACAGGUAGUUUGUGAUAAGAUAAAUUGUAACGGGUAGCAAAUAACAAGUGUAAAUAAAGUGCAGCAAGAUGGCCCAAUCCUUUUUGUAGCAAAGGACAAGCCUGGACAAACUCUUAUAUAGAGAAAAGCGCUCCCGAGGACACAUGGGAAUUAUCGUCAAGCUAGUUUUCAUCACGUUCAUAUGAUUCGCGUUCGGUACUUUGAUAAUUUGAUAUGUGGGUGGACCGGUGCUUGGGUGUUGUCCUUACUUGGACAAACAUCCCACUUAUGAUUAACUCCUAUUGCAUCCACAACUACAAAAGAAGUAUUAAGGUAAACCUAACCAUAGCAUGAAACAUAUGGAUCCAAAUCGCCCCCUUACGAAGCAAUGCAUAAACUAGGGUUUAAGCUUCUGUCACUCUAGCAACCCAUCAUCUACUUAUUGUUGGGGAACGUAGUAAUUUCAAAAAAAUUCCUACGCACACGCAAGAUCAUGGUGAUGCAUAGCAACGAGAGGGGAGAGUGUUGUCCACGUACCCUCAUAGACCGACAGCGGAAGCGUUAUCACAACGCGGUUGAUGUAGUCGUAUGUCUUCACGAUCCGACCGAUCAAGUACCGAACGUACGGCACCUCCGAGUUCUACACACGUUCAGCUCGAUGACGUCCCUCGAACUCCGAUCCAGCCGAGUGUUGAGGGAGAGUUUCGUCAGCACGACAGCGUGGUGACGAUGAUUAUGUUCCAGCGACGCAGGGCUUCGCCUAAGCUCCGCAACGGUAUUAUCGAGGUGUAAUAUGGUGGAGGGGGGCACCGCACACGACUAAGAGAUCUCAAGGAUCAAUUGUUGUGUCUCUGGGGUGCCCCCUGCCCCCGUAUAUAAAGGAGCAAGGGAGGAGGAGGCCGGCCCUAGGAGGGGGCGCACCAAGUGUGGAGUCCUACUAGGACUCAAUAGGAAAAGAGGAAGGGAAAAAGAGAAGGAAGGAAGGGGGCGCCCCCCUUCCCUAGUCCAAUUCGGACCAGACCAAGGGGAGGGGUGCGACCACCCUUGAGGCCCUUUUUCUUCUUUCCCGUAUGGCCCAAUAAGGCCCAAUACGUAUUCCCGUAACUCUCCGGUACUCCGAAAAAUACCCGAAUCACUCGGAACCUUUUCGAAGUCCGAAUAUAGUCGUCCAAUAUAUCGAUCUUUACGUCUCGGCCAUUUCGAGACUCCUCGUCAUGUCCCCGAUCUCAUCCGGGACUCCAAACUCCUUCGGUACAUCAAAACUCAAUAAAACUGUCAUCGUAACGUUAAGCGUGCGGACCCUACGGGUUCGAGAACUAUGUAGACAUGACCGAGACACGUCUCCGGUCAAUAACCAAUAGCGGGACCUGGAUGCCCAUAUUGGCUCCCACAUAUUCUACGAAGAUCUUUAUCGGUCAGACCGCAUAACAACAUACGUUGUUCUCUUUGUCACCGGUAUGUUACUUGCCCGAGAUUUGAUCGUCGGUAUCUCGAUACCUAGUUCAAUCUCGUUACCGGCAAGUCUCUUUACUCGUUCUGUAACACAUCGUCCCGCAACUAACUUAUUAGUCACAAUGCUUGCAAGGCUUACAGUGAUGUGCAUUACCGAGUGGGCCCAGAGAUACCUCUCCGACAAUUGGAGUGACAAAUCCUAAUCUCGAAAUACGCCAACCCAACAAGUACCUUUGGAGACACCUGUAGAGCACCUUUAUAAUCACCCAUUUACGUUGUGACGUUUGGUAGCACACAAAGUGUUCCUCCGGUAAACGGGAGUUGCAUAAUCUCAUAGUCAUAGGAACAUGUAUAAGUCAUGAAGAAAGCAAUAGCAACAUACUAAACGAUCGAGUGCUAAGCUAACGGAAUGGGUCAAGUCAAUCACGUCAUUCUCCUAAUGAGGUGAUCUCGUUAAUCAAAUGACAACUUAUGUCUAUGGCUAGGAAACAUAACCAUCUUUGAUUAACGAGCUAGUCAAGUAGAGGCAUACUAGUGACACUCUGUUUGUCUAUGUAUUCACACAUGUAUCAUGUUUCCGGUUAAUACAAUUCUAGCAUGAAUAAUAAACAUUUAUCAUGAUAUAAGGAAAUAAAUAAUAACUUUAUUAUUGCCUCUAGGGCAUAUUUCCUUCAGUCUCCCACUUGCACUAGAGUCAAUAAUCUAGUUCACAUCGCCAUGUGAUUUAACACUAAUAGUUAACAUCACCAUGUGAUUAACACCCAUAGUUCACAUCGCUAUGUGACCAACACUCAAAGGGUUUACUAGAGUCAGUAAUCUAGUUCACAUCGCUUAUGUGAUUAACACCCAAAGAGUACUAAGGUGUGAUCAUGUUUUGCUUGUGAGAUAAUUUUAGUCAACGAGUCUGUCACAUUCAGAUCCGUAAGUAUUUUGCAAAUUUCUAUGUCUACAAUGCUCUGCAUGGAGCUACUCUAGCUAAUUGCUCCCACUUUCAAUAUGUAUCUAGACCGAGACUUAGAGUCAUCUAGAUUAGUGUCAAAACUUGCAUCGACGUAACCUUUUACGACGAGCCUUUUGUCACUUCCAUAAUCGAGAAACAUAUCCUUAUUCCAGUAAGGAUAAUUUUGACCGCUGUCCAGUGAUCUACUCCUAGAUCACUAUUGUACUCCCUUGCAAAAAUCAGUGUAGGGUAUACAAUAGAUCUGGUACACAGCAUGGCAUACUUUAUAGAACCUAUGGCCGAGGCAUAGGGAAUGACUUUCAUUCUUUUUCUAUCUUCUGCCGUGGUCGGGUUUUGAGUCUUACUCAAUUUCACACCUUGUAACACAGGCAAGAAACUCUUUAUUUGACUGUUCCAUUUUUGAACCACUUCAAAAUCUUGUUAAGGUACGUACUCAUUGAAAAAACUUAUCAAGCGUCUUGAUCUAUCUCUAUAGAUCUUGAUGCUCAAUAUGUAAGCAGCUUCACCGAGGUCUUUCUUUGAAAAACUCUUAUUCAAGUAUCCCUUUAUGCUAUCCAGAAAUUCUAUAUCAUUUCCAAUCAGUAAUAUGUCAUCCACAUAUAAUAUCAGAAAUGCUACAGAGCUCCCACUCACUUUCUUGUAAAUACAUGCUUCUCCAAAAGUCUGUAUAAAACCAAAUGCUUUGAUCACACUAUCAAAAGCGUUUAUUCCAACUCCGAGAGGCUUGCACCAGUCCAUAAAUGGAUCGCUGGAGCUUGCACACUUUGUUAGCUCCCUUUGGAUCGACAAAACCUUCUGGUUGCAUCAUAUACAACUCUUCUUCCAGAAAUCCAUUCAGGAAUGCAGUUUUGACAUCCAUUUGCCAAAUUUCAUAAUCAUAAAAUGCGGCAAUUGCUAACAUGAUUCGGACAGACUUAAGCAUCGCUACGGGUGAGAAGGUCUCAUCGUAGUCAAUCCCUUGAACUUGUCGAAAACCUUUCGCAACAAGUCGAGCUUUAUAGACAGUAACAUUACCAUCAGCGUCAGUCUUCUUCUUGAAGAUCCAUUUAUUUUCAAUGGUUUGCCGAUCAUUGGGCAAGUCAACCAAAGUCCAUACUUUGUUCUCAUACAUGGAUCCCAUCUCAGAUUUCAUGGCCUCAAGCCAUUUUGCGGAAUCUGGGCUCACCAUCGCUUCUUCAUAGUUCGUAGGUUCGUCAUGGUCUAGUAACAUAACCUCCAGAACAGGAUUACCGUACCACUCUGGUGCGGAUCUUACUCUGGUUGAUCUACGAGGUUUAGUAAUAACUUGAUCUGAAGUUUCAUGAUCAUCAUCAUUAACUUCCUCACUAAUUGGUGUAGGUGUCUCAAAAACUGGUUUCUGUGAUGAACUACUUUCCAAUAAGGGAGCAGGUAUAGUUACCUCAUCAAGUUCUACUUUCCUCCCACUCACUUCUUUCGAGAGAAACUCCUUCUCUAGAAAAUUUCCGAAUUUAGCAACAAAAGUUUUUGCCUUCGGAUCUGUGAUAGAAGGUAUACCCAACAGUCUCCUUUGGGUAUCCUAUCAGGACACAUUUCUCCAAUUUGGGUUCGAGCUUAUCAGGUUGAAGUUUCUUCACAUAAGCAUCGCAACCCCAAACUUUAAGAAACGACAACUUUGGUUUCUUGCUAAACCUCAGUUCAUAAGGCGUCGUCUCAACGGAUUUUGAUGGUGCCCUAUUUAACGUGAAUGCAGCUGUCUCUAAUGCAUAACCCCAAAACUAUAGUGGUAGAUCGGUAAGAGACAUCAUAUAUCGCACCAUAUCUAAUAAAGUAUGGUUACGAUGUUCGGACACACCAUUACACUGUGGUGUUCCAGGUGGCGUGAGUAGUGAAACUAUUUCACAUUGUUUUAACUGAAGGCCAAACUCGUAACUCAAAUACUCUUCUCCACGAUCAAAUCGUAGAAACUUUAUUUUCUUGUUACGGUGAUUUUCCACUUCACUCUGAAAUUAUAUGAACUUUUCAAAUGUUUCAGACUUCUGUUUCAUUAAGUAGAUAUACCCAUAUCUGCUCAAAUCAUCUGUGAAGGUCAGAAAAUAAUGAUACCUGCUACGAGCCUCAAUAUUCAUCGGACCACAUACAUCUGUAUGUAUGAUUUCCAACAAAUCUGUUGCUCUCUCCAUAGUUCCGGAGAACGGCGUUUUUGUCAUCUUGCCCACGAGGCAUGGUUCGCAAGCAUCAAGUGAUUCAUAAUCAUGUGAUUCCAAAAUCCCAUCAGUAUGGAGUUUCUUCAUGCGCUUUACACCAAUAUGACCUAAACGGCAGUGCCACAAAUAAGUUGCACUAUCAUUAUUAACUUUGCAUCUUUUGGCUUCAUUAUUAUGAAUAUGUGUAUCACUACGAUCGAGAUCCAACAAAACCAUUUUUGUUGGUGUGUAUGACCAUAAAAGGUUUUUUUAUUCAUGUAAACAGAACAACAAUUGUUCUCUAACUUAAAUGAAUAACCGUAUUGCAAUAAACAUGAUCAAAUCAUAUUCAUGCUCAACGCAUACACCAAAUAACAUUUAUUUAGUUUCAACACUAAUCCCGAAAGUAUAGGGAGUGUGCGAUGAUGAUCAUAUCAAUCUUGGAACUACUUCCAACACACAUCGUCACCUCGCCUUUUACUAGUCUCUAUUUCUUCUGCAACUCCCGUUUCGAGUUACUACUCUUUAGCAACUGAACCAGUAUCAAUUACCAAGGGGUUGCUAUAAACACUAGUAAAGUACAUAUCAAUAAUCUGUAUAUCAAAUAUACCUUUGUUCACUUUUACUAGUCUCUGUUUAUUCUGCAACUCCCGUUUCGAGUUGCUACUCUUAGCAACUGAACCAGUAUCAAUUACCGAGGGGUUGCUAUAAACACUAGUAAAGUACACAUCAAUAAUCUGUAUAUCAAAUAUACCUUUGUUCACUUUGCCAUCCUUCUUAUCCACCAAAUAGUUGGGGUAAUUCCGCUUCCAGUGACCAGUCCCUUUGCAGUAGAAGCACUUAGUCUCAGGCUUAGGACCAGACUUAGGCUUCUUCACUUGAGCAGCAACUUGCUUGCCGUUCUUCUUGAAGUUCCCCUUCUUCCCUUUGCCCUUUUCUUGAAACUAGUGGUCUCGUCAACCAUCAACACUUGAUGUUUUUCUUGAUUUCUACCUUCGUCGAUUUCAGCAUCACGAAGAGCUCGGGAAUUACUUUCGUCAUCCCUUGCAUACUAUAGUUCAUCACGAAGUUCUACUAACUUUGGUGAUGGUGACUAGAGAAUUCUGUCAAUCACUAUUUUAUCUGGAAGAUUAACUCCCACUUGAUUCAAGCGAUUGUAGUACCCAGACAAUCUGAGCACAUGCUCACUAGUUGAGCGAUUCUCCUCCAUCUUUUAGCUAUAGAACUUGUUGGAGACUUCAUAUCUCUCAACUCGGGUAUUUGCUUGAAAUAUUAACUUCAACUCCUGGAACAUCUCAUAUGGUCCAUGACGUUCAAAACGUCUUUGAAGUCCCGAUUCUAAGCCGUUAAACAUGGUGCACUAAACUAUCAAGUAGUCAUCAUAUUGAGCUAGCCAAACGUUCAUAACGUCUGCAUCUGCUGCUGCAAUAUGUCUAUCACCUAGCGGUGCAUCAAGGACAUAAUUCUUCUGUGCAGCAAUGAGGAUAAUCCUCAGAUCACGGAUCCAAUCCGCAUCUUUGCUACUAACAUCUUUCAACAUAAUUUUCUCUAGGAACAUAUCAAAAAUAAAAUAGGGAAGCAACAACGCGAGCUAUUGAUCUACAACAUAAUUUGCAAAAUACUAUCAGGACUAAGUUCAUGAUAAAUUUAAGUUCAAUUAAUCAUAUUACUUAAGAACUCCCACUUAGAUAGACAUCCCUCUAAUCCUCUAAGUGAUCACUUGAUCCAUAUCAACUAAACCAUGUCCGAUCAUCACGUGAGAUGGAGUAGUUUCAACGGUGAACAUCACUAUGUUGAUCAUAUCUACUAUAUGAUUCACGCUCGACCUUUCGGUCUCCGUGUUCCGAGGCCAUAUCUAUUAUAUGCUAGGCUCGUCAAGUUUAACCUGAGUAUUCCGCGUGUGCAACUGUUUUGCACCCGUUGUAUUUGAACGUAGAGCCUAUCACACCCGAUCAUCACGUGGUAUCUCAGCACGAAGAACUUUCGCAACGGUGCAUACUCAGGGAGAACACUUAUACUUUGAUAAUUUAGUGAAGGAUCAUCUUAUAAUGCUACCGUCAAACAAAGCAAGAUAAGAUGCAUAAAGGAUUAACAUCACAUGCAAUCAAUAUAAGUGAUAUGACAUGGCCAUCAUCAUCUUGUGCUUGUGAUCUCCAUCUCCGAAGCACCGUGCUUGUGAUCUCCAUCUCCGAAGCACCGUCAUGAUCACCAUCGUCACCGGCGCGACACCUUGAUCUCCAUCGUAGCAUCGUUGUCGUCUCAUCAAUCUUAUGCUUCUACGACUAUCGCUACCGCUUAGUGAUAAAGUAAAGCAUUACAUGGCGAUUGCAUUGCAUACAAUAAAACGACAACCAUAUGGCUCCUGCCAGUUGCCGAUAACUUGGUUACAAAACAUGAUCAUGUCAUACAACAAAUUAUAUCACAUCAUGUCUUGACCAUAUCACAUCACAACAUGCCCUGCAAAAACAAGUUAGACGUCCUCUACUUUGUUGUUGCAAGUUUUACGUGGCUGCUACGGGCUUAGCAAGAACCGUUCUUACCUACGCAUCAAAACCACAACGAUAGUUUGUCAAGUUGGUGUUGUUUUAACCUUCGCAAGGACCGGGCGUAGCCACACUCGGUUCAACUAAAGUGAGAGAGACAGACACCCGCCAGUCACCUUUAAGCAACGAGUGCUCGCAACGGUGAAACCAGUCUCGCGUAAGCGUACGCGUAAUGUCGGUCCGGGCCGCUUCAUCUCACAAUACCGCUGAACCAAAAUAUGACAUGCUGGUAAGCAGUAUGACUUAUAUCGCCCACAACUCACUUGUGUUCUACUCGUGCAUAGCAUCAACGCAUAAAACCAGGCUCGGAUGCCACUGUUGGGGAACGUAGUAAUUUCAAAAAAAUUCCUACGCACACGCAAGAUCAUGGUGAUGCAUAGCAACGAGAGGGGAGAGUGUUGUCCACGUACCCUCGUAGACCGACAGCGGAAGCGUUAUCACAACGCGGUUGAUGUAGUCGUACGUCUUCACGAUCCGACCGAUCAAGUACCGAACGUACGGCACCUCCGAGUUCUACACAUGUUCAGCUCGAUGACGUCCCUCGAACUCCGAUCCAGCCGAGUGUUGAGGGAGAGUUUCGUCAGCACGACGGCGUGGUGACGAUGAUGAUGUUCCAGCGACGCAAAGCUUCGCCUAAGCUCCGCAAUGGUAUUAUCGAGGUGUAAUAUGGUGGAGGGGGGCACCGCACACGGCUAAGAGAUCUCAAGGAUCAAUUGUUGUGUCUCUGGGGUGCCCCUGCCCCCGUAUAUAAAGGAGCAAGGGAGGAGGAGGCCGGCCUUAGGAGGGGGCGCACCAAGUGUGGAGUCCUACUAGGACUCCCUAGUCCUAGUAGGAUUCCACCUCCCAUAUGGAAUAGGAAAAGAGGAAGGGAAAAAGAGAAGGAAGGAAGGGGGCGCCCCCCUUCCCUAGUCCAAUUCGGACCAGACCAAGGGGAGGGGUGCGGCCACCCUUGAGGCCCUUUUUCUUCUUUCCCGUAUGGCCCAAUAAGGCCCAAUACGUAUUCCCGUAACUCUCCGGUACUCCGAAAAAUACCCGAAUCACUCGGAAGCUUUCUGAAGUCCGAAUAUAGUCGUCCAAUAUAUCGAUCUUUACGUCUCGGCCAUUUCGAGACUCCUCGUCAUGUUCCCGAUCUCAUCCAGGACUCCGAACUCCUUCGGUACAUCAAAACUCAAUAAAACUGUCAUCGUAACGUUAAGCGUGCGGACCCUACGGGUUCGAGAACUAUGUAGACAUGACCGAGACACGUCUCCGGUCAAUAACCAAUAGCGGGACCUGGAUGCCCAUAUUGGCUCCCACAUAUUCUACGAAGAUCUUUAUCGGUCAGACCGCAUAACAACAUACGUUGUUCUCUUUGUCACCGGUAUGUUACUUGCCCGAGAUUUGAUCGUCGGUAUCUCGAUACCUAGUUCAAUCUCGUUACCGGCAAGUCUCUUUACUCGUUCCGUAACACAUCAUCCCGCAACUAACUUAUUAGUCACAAUGCUUGCAAGGCUUAUAGUGAUGUGCAUUACCGAGUGGGCCCAGAGAUACCUCUCCGACAAUUGGAGUGACAAAUCCUAAUCUCGAAAUACGCUAACCCAACAAGUACCUUUGGAGACACCUGUAGAGCACCUUUAUAAUCACCCAUUUACGUUGUGACGUUUGGUAGCACACAAAGUGUUCCUCCGGUAAACGGGAGUUGCAUAAUCUCAUAGUCAUAGGAACAUGUAUAAGUCAUGAAGAAAGCAAUAACAACAUACUAAACGAUCGAGUGCUUAGCUAACGGAAUGGGUCAAGUCAAUCACGUCAUUCUCCUAAUGAGGUGAUCUCGUUAAUCAAAUGACAACUUAUGUCUAUGGCUAGGAAACAUAACCAUCUUUGAUUAACGAGCUAGUCAAGUAGAGGCAUACUAGUGACACUCUGUUUGUUUAUGUAUUCACACAUGUAUCAUGUUUCCGGUUAAUACAAUUCUAGCAUGAAUAAUAAACAUUUAUCAUGAUAUAAGGAAAUAAAUAAUAACUUUAUUAUUGCCUCUAGGGCAUAUUUCCUUCACUUAUUACUUCCCAAUGCCUUCCUCUAGGCCCAAACAAUGGUGAAGUGUCAUGUAGUCGAUGUUCACAUGACACCACUAGAGGAGAGACAACAUACAUCUCAUCAAAAUAUCGAACGAAUACCAAAUUCACAUGACUACUUAUAACAAGACUUAUCCCAUGUCCUCAGGAACAAACGUAACUACUCACAAAGCAUAUUCAUGUUCAUGAUCAGAGGGGUAUUAAUAUGCAUAAUGGAUCUGAACAUAUGAUCUUCCACCAAAUAAACCAACUAGCAUCAACUACAAGGAGUAAUCAACACUACUAGCAACCUAUAGGUACCAAUCUCAGGCUAUGAGACAAAGAUUGGAUACAAGAGAUGAACUAGGGUUUGAGAGGAUAUGGUGCUGGUGAAGAUGUUGAUGAAGAGGGACCCCCUCCCGAUGAGAGGAUCGUUGGUGAUGACGAUGGCGAUGAUUUCCCCCUCUCGAAGGGAAGUUUCCCCGGCAGAACAACUCCGCCGGAGCCCUAGAUUGGUUCCGCCUCGUGGCGGCGGAGUCUCGUCCUGAAAGCUUGUUUAUUAUUUUUUCUCGGACCAAAGACUUCAUAUAGCAGAAGAUGGGCACCGGAGGGUCACCAGGGGCCCACGAGGUAGGGGGCGCGCCCCCCACCCUCGUGGCCAGGGUGUGGGCCCCCUCUGGUAUUUUCUUCGCUCAGUAUUUUUUAUAAAUCCCAAAAAUGACUUCCGUGGAGUUUCAGGAUGUAGCGACCCGACCUCAAACGGUCAAGCCUCUGUGCUUCCGUGUCAUCCCUGGAUCGGUAAUGCUGACACACACAGUACUCGAAAGAUUUAUAACAGAGUAGCAAUCACACACUUAUUACAUCGAAUGUCUCAAAAGAGAACUUAUUACAAUAAAUAUGGCAUAAGGCCAUCUAGUACAAUAACAGUGGAAGGCUUGGAAGAUAAAGUGAGUCCAUCAAGUCCAACGUCAUAGCUGAGCUGCAGGGCAACGACCUAAUGAACCUUACUCCUCAUCUGAAAAGUCUGCAACAUAAUAUGUUGCAGCCCGAAAACGGGUCAGCACAUGGAAUAUGCUGGCAAUAUAACACAGUAGAGCAAGAACAGAAUAAUGCUAUCACUAUAUUCAUAUUUGGCUGGUGGAAAAGCUCUAUGGUUAUAGUUUUGCGAAAAGCCAAUUUUUUCCUAAAACAAAGGAAUAAGUUUUAUUUUAACUAUCAUGGUAGUUGAAACAUCAUUGAGAAGGUUCCUCCAACUCAGUCCCAAUUAAAAGUAAUUAUCAACCCAACAAUAUUAAAUUAGAGUGAUGAGAUACUUAUGAUAAUCCAAGUACUAGAUACUCAAGAUGUCCAUAACCGGGGACACGGCUAACCAUGAUUAGAUUGUACACUCUGCAGAGGUUUGCGCACUUUUCCCCACAAGACUCGAUCGCCUCCGUUGGAUUUCUCGCACUACAUGGUGUUUGAGAAACGGAUGACCGAGACACGGUAUUUCAGAAGCAUUCACUCUAACCCCGGGUAGACAGUACCAACCUACAUCCCUCUACAUCUGCUAGCCUACCACUUGAAGAGGUCAUGCAACGUACUCAACUAUGCUAGAGCCCAUAAUAGCUUGUGGCUACACACGGAAUUUUCUAGCAUGAAAUAUCUCAGUUCCCUUUGAGCCUGGGUGGCGAACCUUAGGAUUAUCACACGGGUACUCCGGGAUAUCCUAGGACAACACUGGAUUCUCCAGGUGCCCGACAAGCAAUCCACCCAGAUGUGUAUUAAAGUAGCCACCUUAAGUUGAACCAUUAAUUAACCAUCUCACAUCUGUCAUGGAUUCACUCACCCAAACCACGUCUACGAGCAUAGCAUAGCAAUAUAAGCAAUACGUAGAAGUAACUCCCAAGGGUUUGAUAAUAACAGAGCAAUAGGUUCUACCUCAUCAACUACUUCCCAAUACCCACAAGUUAAUCACCUCCUAAUCAUGCAGUGUUUGAGGAUUGGAGCUAAUGGAUAAAAACUGGGUAUUAAAAGAGUAUGAUCAAUGUGUUACUUGCCUUGUUGACGAUCCGCAAAACCUAGGGACUCGUAGUAGCACGCUUCAGCACUCCGGGAAUUCUAUCGCAAACAAACAAAAGCAUACAUAAGCAAUCAAUCAUGGAUGCACGGGUAAAACUCAAAUAAGAAGAACUAACCAGAAAGUUCAACUUAAGAACUCCGGUUUGCAAAAAGAAUCAAAUCAAACGGAGCAACGAAACUCAAACUGCGAAAGAAACAAGAUUUGUUUACUAAUCUGGAAUAAAGUCAAAUUUUACUAUACCAAAAUCUUGUUCAAGUUGGUUAAACAGAAAGAGGGUUUCGAGACGAAGAUCUAGGCGCUUGAAUCGCCUGAUUCCGAUAAACGAGCGAAAAGAUAAACAAAAACAAAAAUCGGAUGAGAAAUCGCGAUCGAAAAUAAUCGUGAAAAACCCGGGAAAAAGAAAAAACGAACGAUUAGGCUAACGAACGAGCGUUUAUUGUCUGUGACUAGCGGGCGAAAACCGUUCAUUAAAACGAACGUACGGACGAACGUCCACUAAAUAAACUAAACCGAGAAAACCAACGAACCGGUCUAAAAACAUAACUAGGGUUAAAAAACCGACGGUUUUUACCUAAACUGAAAAGAACCAGGCGGCGAGAUUUGCGAACUCCGACGCGGCUCCGGCGGCUUCUGGCAAGCGGGGCGGCGGCGCGGGCGACNNNNNNNNNNNNNNNNNNNNNNNNNNNNNNNNNNNNNNNNNNNNNNNNNNNNNNNNNNNNNNNNNNNNNNNNNNNNNNNNNNNNNNNNNNNNNNNNNNNNNNNNNNNNNNNNNNNNNNNNNNNNNNNNNNNNNNNNNNNNNNNNNNNNNNNNNNNNNNNNNNNNNNNNNNNNNNNNNNNNNNNNNNNNNNNNNNNNNNNNNNNNNNNNNNNNNNNNNNNNNNNNNNNNNNNNNNNNNNNNNNNNNNNNUCGGCUGGGCCUUGGCCCAGUCGGGCGCGGAAGUUAAAAAAAAACAGAUUCCGCCGAAAAGAAAUCCUAGAAAAAUAAAUAAAAAUCUAAAAAUACCAAAACAAAUUUUCACCGUCUGAAUAAAAUAUUUAGAACAAGAUGAACAUUUGUUUGGCCUAAAAUGCAAUUUUUUAAAAAGUCAUAUUUUUUCCAAUGCAAAUAAAAUAGCAAUAAAAUCUGAAUAAAAUCAAAUAUUUGAUUUUAAUAUUUUUCCUCCAAUAUUUCAUUUAUUUUGGAGAAGUCAUAUUAUCUCCUCUCAUAUAUUUUAAUAUGAAAUAUUUUCGGAGAGAAAAAUAAUUAAAACAAAUAAUCCUCGUUUCGAUAUUUGAUAAAAUUCAAAUAGAAAACAGUGAAAUCCCCAACUCUCUCCGAGGGUCCUUGAGUUGCUUAGAAUUUCGAGGAUCGCGAAACGAAAUGCAACAAAAAUAUGAUAUGCAUGAAUGAUCUAUGUAUAACAUUCCAAAUUGAAAAUUUGGGAUGUUACAAACUUCCCCCCCUUAAGAUGAAUCUCGCCCUCAAGAUUCGGGUUGGCUAGAAAAUAGGUGUGGGUGGUCUUUGCGAAGAUCAUCCUCUCGUUCCCAGGUGGCUUCAUCCUCGGAUGGUGGCUCCACUGAACUUUGCAAAACUUGAUAACCUUGCUGCGGGUGACUCGGCUGGCAAAUUCAAGAAUCCUGACUGGCUUCUCCUCAUAGGUCAGAUCACUCUCCAACAUAAUCGCUUCCAAGGGCACUGUAUCUCUUAGUGGUAUAUCGGCCAUCUCAGCAUGACACUUCUUCAACUGUGAAACAUGAAACACAUCAUGAACUCCUGACAGUCCUUCAGGUAACUCCAACUUGUAGGCAACCUCUCCCAUGCGUUCCAAAACACGAUACGGUCCCACAAAUCUCGGGGCUAACUUUCCCUUAACUCCAAAACGUUUCACUCUCGCAGAGGUGACACUCGCAGAUAUGCUCUGUCUCCAAUUUCAUAGCUUACUUCCUUGCGUUUCGAAUCUGCAUAACUCUUCUGCCUGGACUGAGCUACCUUCAGUCUAUCUCGGAUCAACUUAACCUUCUCUUCAGACUCCUUGAUCAAAUCUGGUCCAAACAACUGUCGGUCUCCAACUUCAUCCCACAUCAACGGUGUUCUGCACUUUCGUCCAUACAGGGCUUCGAACAGUGCCAUCUUCAAACUGGCUUGAUAGCUAUUGUUGUAUGAGAACUCCGCGUAGGGCAAAUUGUCAUCCCAACUAGAUCCAUAAUCUAGUGCACAAGCUCUCAACAUAUCCUCCAGAAUCCAGUUGACUCUCUCGGUUUGUCCAUUUGUCUGCGGAUGGAAUGCUAUACUGAACUCUAGCCUUGUACCGAAAGUCUGGUGCAGCUGAUGCCAAAACUUUGAGGUAAACUGUGUUCCUCUAUCUGAUACGAUGGUCCUUGGAACUCCAUGCAGACAUACGAUCCUGGUCAUGUAUAUCUUGGCGAACUUCGCACUUGUAUAGGUGGUUUUCACUAGGAUAAAGUGAGCUACUUUGGGCAAGCGAUCAACUACUACCCAUAUAGAAUCAUAUCCUGAUUUGGUCCUGGGCAAUCCGGUGAUGAAAUCCAUGCCAAGCUUAUCCCACUUCCAUUCGGGUAUCGGCAUAGGCUGUAACAAUCCUGCUGGAUUUUGAUGUUCCGCCUUCACUCUCUGACAUACAUCACAUACGGCUACAUACUCGGCAAUAUCCUUCUUCAUACCAGUCCACCAGAAAUGUUUCUUCAAAUCCAAAUACAUCUUGGUGUUUCCGGGGUGUAUCGAGCAUGGUGAGUCAUGAGCCUCCUGAAGUAUUAACUUCCCGAUCUCUGUGUUAUUGGGCACAUAAACAUAGUCCUCAAACCAUAAGGUGCCGUGCUCGUCCUCACGAAAACCUUUGGCCUUUCCUUUGCUCAUUCUCUCUUUUAUCUCGGCAAUCUUUUUGUCAUCCUUCUGAGCUUCUCGAAUCUUUCCUAACAAUGUAGACUGAACUUCCAUUGUUGCAACAAAACCUCUAGGAACAAUCUCCAAUCGAAGUUCCCUGAGAUCCUCUGCUAACUCCUUUGGCAAUCUUGUGCUUACGAGGGUGUUAGCAUAACUCUUCUGGCUCAAAGCGUCUGCUACGACAUUGGCCUUGCCUAGAUGAUAGUGAAGCUUCAUGUCAUAGUCCUUUAUAAGCUCCAACCAUCUCCUCUGCCUAAGGUUCAGCUCCUUCUGUGUGAAAAUGUACUUCAAACUCUUAUGAUCGGUGUACACAUCACAACGGUUUCCAAUAAGGUAAUGUCUCCAAGUCUUGAGCGCAUGCACUACAGCUGCUAACUCCAAAUCAUGCGUGGCAUAAUUCAAUUCGUGCGGUUUUAGUUGUCGUGAGGCAUACGAAACAACUCUUCUGUCCUGCAUAAGCACACUUCCAAGUCCUAAGCGAGAGGCGUCGCAAUACACUCGGAAAUCCUUGCGUAUAUCUGGCAGAAUCAGCAGUGGGGCUGUAGUCAGACAUUUCUUUAACUCCUAAAAACUCGCCUCACAUUCCUCCGUCCAUUUAAAUUUGGUAUCCUUCUUCAAUAACUCCGUCAUUGGCUUCGCAAUCUUGGAAAAAUUCUCAAUGAAUCUCCAAUAGUAUCCUGCGAGUCCAAGAAAACUGCGGAUCUCGCUAACUGAAGUGGGUGCCAACCAUUCAGUGACUGACUGAACCUUGGUGGGGUCUACUACUAUACCUUCUCCUGAUAUAACAUGUCCAAGGAAUCCAACUUCCUUGAACCAAAACUCACAUUUGCUGAACUUGGCAUACAACUGAUGUUCCCUGAGUUUCUCGAGAACUAAACGCAAAUGCUCUUUGUGCUCCUCUUCAUUCUUCGAGUAUACCAUUAUAUCAUCAAUGAACACCACAACAAACUUAUCCAAAUAUUCCAUGAAAACCUUGUUUAUCAUGCUCAUGAAGUAGGCAGGGGCGUUAGUCAGUCCAAAUGACAUGACUGUAUAUUCAUACAACCCGUACCUUGUGGUGAAUGCUGUCUUUGGUAUAUCCUUCUCUCGAAUUUUCAGCUGGUGAUAUCCUGAUCAUAGAUCGAUCUUCGAAAACACUUUAGCUCCUUGCAGCUGGUCAAACAAAUCAUUGAUCAUCGGCAAAGGGUAUUUGUUCUUGAUCGUCACCUCAUUCAAUGCCCGAUAAUCAACAACCAUCCUCAAUGAUCCAUCCUUCUUCUCAACCGAUAGCACUGGGGCUCCCCACGGUGAUGAACUUCGUCGAAUGUAACCUUUUUCCAAUAACUCCUUGAUCUGCUUCUUAAUCUCCUCCAGAUCAUUUGCGGGCAUCCGGUAUGGUCUCUUUGAUAUAGGCCCGGUGCCUGCCAACAGUUCUAUCAAAAACUCGAUGUCCCGAUCUGGCGGCAUGCCUGGUAAUUCCUCUGGGAAUACAUCUAGGUAAUCCUUUACGACAGGCACUUCCUCCUGAACAACUCCUGAGAGGGAAUUUACUUGGCUCCUACUAGGCGCGUGCCUAGAUACAUACUUGAUCCUUUUUCCCUCCGGGGUGGUGAGAUAAAUCGACUUACUAGCACAGUCAAUGCUUCCUCCAUACUUUGACAUCCAGUCCAUGCCUAAUAUCACAUCCAAUCCUUGUGACUCCAAAAUUAUUAGGUCGGACGGGAAAACAUGGCUACCAAUGGUUAAGGGUAUCCGGUCGCACCAUCAGUUAGCCAUAUACUCUGCUCCAGGUGAACUUACUAACAGAGGGGUCCUAAGGGUUUGGGUUGGUAGUUUAAACUUAUCCACGAAUCCCCUUGAUAUGUAUGAAUGCGAUGCACUAGUAUCAAAAAGAACAAGGGCGGUAAAAGACUUAACCAAAAACUUACCGAUAACCGCGUCUGGCUGCUCUUCAACCUCCUCCACGUUAACGUGGUUCACUUGUCCUUUGUUGAAUGGAUUGGGCUUCUUCCCAGUGCUCCCAUUACCGUUUCCAUUCUUCGCUUCAGGGUACUCCGUGGCAUAGUGUCCAGUCUUCCCGCACUUGAAGCAAGUAAUGUGACUUAGGUCUCUCUUGGCGGGUGUGGCUGGAUUGGAGUGGUUCUGAUUGUUGCUUGUUCCGUUCCCAGUCCUAUUCUUGGAACUAUUGUGGUUAUCCGAACUUCCUCCGUUGUGGUUUUGACCUCCAUGGUUAUGAACAAGUCCUCCCGAGUUCGGGGUUAGACGAGGCUUCUGCUGAGCUCCAGAAUUGUAUCUUCCUUGUCCAUACUUCCUCUUACGAAUCUCAAUCUGCUGCUGCUUCCCUUCAAUCAUAAGAGCCUUAUCUACCAAUUCCUGGUAGUUGUUGAAUGUUGCCACCAUCCACUGCAUGCUCAUCUCAUCGUUCAACCCUUCCAUAAACUUCUCCUGCUUCGCGGCAUCUGUGGCCACAUCAUCAGGGGCAUAACGAGAUAACUUGCUAAACUCAUCCACGUACUGAGCUAUAGUACGGUUCCCCUGGCGUAAGUUGCAAAAUUCACGCUUCUUCAUAUUCAUAGCUCCAGUUGAGACAUGGGCUGUGCGGAAAGCUUGCUGAAACUGAUCCCAAGUGACGUUGGCUAUGGGGAAAGUGGCCGUAUAAUUCUCCCACCAUGAGGCUGCUGGUCCAUCCAAUUGAUGUGCGGCAAAGCGCACUGAUGUCUACUACACAACCUUCUUCUUGUAGACGUUGUUGGGCCUCCAAGUGCAGAGGUUUGUAGGACAGUAGCAAAUUUCCCUCAAGUGGAUGACCUAAGGUUUAUCAAUCCGUGGGAGGAGUAGGAUGAAGAUGGUCUCUCUCAAGCAACCCUGCAACCAAAUAACAAAGAGUCUCUUGUGUCCCCAACACACCCAAUACAAUGGUAAAUUGUAUAGGUGCACUAGUUCGGCGAAGAGAUGGUGAUACAAGUGCAAUAUAGAUGGUAGAUAUAGGUUUUUGUAAUCUAAAAAUAUAAAAACAGCAAGGUAACUAAUAAUAAAAGUGAGCACGAACGCUAUUGCAAUGCUAGGAAACAAGGCCUAGGGUUCAUACUUUCACUAGUGCAAGUUCUCUCAAGAAUAAUAACAUAAUUGGACCAUAUAACUAUCCCUCAACAUGCAACAAAGAGUCACUCCAAGUCACUAAUAGCGGAGAACAAACAAAGAGAUUAUGGUAGGGUACGAAACCACCUCAAAGUUAUUCUUUCCGAUCAAUCCAUUGGGCUAUUCCUAUAAGUGUCACAAACAGCCCUAGAGUUCGUAGUAAAAUAACACCUUAAGACACACAUCAACCAAAACCCUAAUGUCACCUAGAUACUCCAAUGUCACCUCAAGUAUCCGUGGGAAUGAUUAUACGAUAUGCAUCACACAAUCUCAGAUUCAUCUAUUCAACCAACACAUAGAACCUCAAAGAGUGCCCCAAAGUUUCUACCGGAGAGUCAAGAUGAAAACGUGUGCCAACCCCUAUGCAUAGGUUCAUGGGCGGAACCCGCAAGUUGAUCACCAAAACAUACAUCAAGUGGAUCAAUAGAAUACCCCAUUGUCACCACGGGUAUCCCGCGCAAGACAUACAUCAAGUGUUCUCAAAUCAUUAAAAGACUCAAUCCGAUAAGAUAACUUCAAAGGGGAAACUCAAUCCAUUACAAGAGAGUAGAGGGGGAGAAACAUCAUAAGAUCCAACUACAAUAGCAAAGCUCGCGAUACAUCAAGAUCGUAUCACCUCAAGAACACGAGAGAGACAGAUCAAACACAUAGCUACUGGUACAUACCCUCAGCCCCGAGGGUGAACUACUCCCUCCUCGUCAUGGAGAGCGUCGGGAUGAUGAAGAUGGCCACCGGUGAGGGUUCCCCCCCUCCGGCAGGGUGCCGUAAUAGGGUCCCGAUUGGUUUUUGGUGGCUACAGAGGCUUGCGGCGGCGGAACUCCCGAUCUAUUCUGUUCCCCGAAGGUUUUAGGGUAUAUUGGUAUAUAUAGGAGGAAGAAAUACGUCAGGGGAGCCACGAGGGGCCCACGAGGGUGGAGGGCGCGCCCAGGGGGGUGGGUGCGUCCCCCUGCCUCGUGCCUUCCUCGUUGAUCCCCUGACGUGCACUCCAAGUCUCCCGGAUUGCUUUCUUUCCAAAAAUAACUUUCCCGAAGGUUUCAUUCUGUUUGGACUCCGUUUGAUAUUCCUUUUCUUCGAAACACUGAAACAAGGGAAAAAACAGAAACUGGCACUGGGCUCUGGGUCAAUAGGUUAGUCCCAAAAGUAAUAUAAAAGUGCAUAAUAAAGCCCAUAAACAUCCAAGACGGAUAAUAUAAUAGCAUGGAACAAUCAAAAAUUAUAGAUACGUUGGAGACGUAUCAGCAUCCCCAAGCUUAAUUCCUGCUCGUCCUCGAGUAGGUAAAUUAUAAAAACAAUUUUUUUGAUGUGGAAUGCUACUUGGCAUAAUUUCAAUGUAAUUCUUCUUAAUUGUGGUAUGAAUAUUCAGAUCCGAAAGAUUCAAGAUAAAAGUUCAUAUUGACAUAAAAAUAAUAAUACUUCAAGCAUACUAACUAAGCAAUUAUGUCCUCUCAAAAUAACAUGGCCAAAGAAAGUUCAUCCCUACAAAAUCAUAUAGUUCAGUCAUGCUCCAUUUCCGUCACACAAGAAUGCUCUCAUCAUGCACAACCCCGAUGACAAGCCAAGCAAUUGUUUCAUACUUUAGUAAUCUCAAACUUUUUCAACCUUCACGCAAUACAUGAGCGUGAGCCAUGGAUAUAGCACUAUGGGUGGAAUAUAAUAUAAUGAUGGGGGUUAUGUGGAGAAGACAAAAAAGGAGAAAGUCCCACAUCAACGCGGCUAAUCAAUGAGCUAUGGAGAUGCCCAUCGAUUGAUGUUAAUGCAAGGAGUAGGGAUUGCCAUGCAACGGAUGCACUAGAGCUAUACAUGUAUGAAAGCUCAACCAAAGAAACUAAGUGGGUGUGCAUCCAACUUGCUUGCUCACGAAGACCUAGGGCAUUUGAGGAAGCCCAUUGUUGGAAUAUACAAGCCAAGUUCUAUAAUGAAAAAUUCCCACUAGUAUAUGAAAGUGACAAAACAAGAGACUCUCUAUCAUGAAGAUUAUGGUGCUACUUUGAAGCACAAGUGUGGUAAAAAGGAUAGUAACAUUGUCCCUUCUCUCUUUUUCUCUCAUUUUUUUGGGCCUCCCCUUUUUAUGGCAUUUCUCUCUUUUUUUUUUCCUCACUUGGGACAAUGCUCUAGAAAAUGAUGAUCAUCACACUUCUAUUUAUUUACAACUCAAUGAUUACAACUCGAUACUAGAACAAAGUAUGACUCUCUAUGAAUGCCUCCGGCGGUGUACCGGGAUAUGCAAUGAACCAAGAGUGACAUGUAUGAAAGAAUUAUGAAUGGUGGCUUUGCCACAAAUACUAUGUCAACUACAUGAUCAUGCAAAGCAGCAUGACAAUGAUGAACGUGUCAUGAUAAAUGGAAUGGUGGAAAGUUGCAUGGCAAUAUAUCUCGGAAUGGCUAUGUAAAUGCCAUAAUAGGUAGGUAUGGUGGCUGUUUUGAGGAAGAUAUAAGGAGGUUUAUGUGUGAAAGAGCGUAUCAUAUCACGGGGUUUGGAUGCACCGGCGAAGUUUGCACCAACUCUCAAUGUGAGAAAGGGCAAUGCACGGUACCGAAGAGGCUAGCAAUGAUGGAAGGGUAAUAGUGCGUAUAAUCCAUGGACUCAACAUUAGUCAUAAAGAACUCACAUACUUAUUGCAAAAAUCUACAAGUCAUCAAAAACCAAGCAUUACGCGCAUGCUCCUAGGGGGAUAGAUUGGUAGGAAAAGACCAUCGCUCGUCCCCGACCGCCACUCAUAAGGAGGACACUCAAAGAACACCUCAUGUUUCAAAUUUAUUACAUAACGUUUAACAUACGUGCAUGCUACGGGACUUGCAAACUUCAACACAAGUAUUUCUCAAAUUCACAACUACUCAACUAGCACAACUUUAAUAUCACUACCUCCAUAUCUCAAAACAAUCAUCAAGCAUCAAACUUCUCUUAGUAUUCAACACACUCAUAAGAAAGUUUUUACUAGUCUUGAAUACCUAGUAUAUUAGGAUUAAGAAAAUUACCAUGUUGUUUAAGACUCUCAAAAUAAUAUAAGUUAAGCAUGAGAGUUCAUCUAUUUCUUCAAAAUAAAACCACCAUUGUGCUCUAAAAGAUAUAAGUGAAGCACUAGAGCAAACGACAGACUACCCCGAAAGAUAUAAGUGAAGAUCAAUGAGUAGUCGAAUAAUUAUGCAACUAUGAAGACUCUCCCAUUUAAUAAUUUCAGAUCUUGGUACUUUAUUCAAACAGCAAGCAAAGCUAAAAAAAAAUAAAAUGACGCUCCAAGCAAAACACAUAUCAUGUGGUGAAUAAAAAUAUAGCUCCAAGUAAAGUUACCGAUGAAUGAAGACGAAAGAGGGGAUGCCUUCCGGGGCAUCCCCAAGCUUAGGCUCUUGGGUAUCCUUGAAUAUUACCUUGGGGUGCCUUGGGCAUCCCCAAGCUUAGGCUCUUGCCACUCCUUAUUCCAUAGUCCAUCGAAUCUUUACCCAAAACUUGAAAACUUCAGAACACAAAACUUAACAGAAAACUCGUAAGCUCCGUUGACGAAAGAAAACAAAACACCACUUCAAGGUACUGUAAUGAACUCAUUCAUUAUUUAUAUUGGUGUUAAACCUACUUUAUUCCAACUUCUCUAUGGUUUGUAAACUAUUUUACUAGCCAUAGAUUCAUCAAAAUAAGCAAACAACACACGAAAAACAGAAUCUGUCAAAAACAGAACAGUCUGUAGUAAUCUGUAACUAACGCAAACUUCUGGAACGCCAAAAAUUCUACCAAAAUAGGAAGACCUAGAUAAUUUGAUUAUUGAUCUUCUGAAAUUGGAAUCAGUAUUUUAUCACUUUCUGGUGAUUUUUAACAAUUGUUUUUGUGAGCAGAAAGUUUCUGUCUUUUUCAGCAAGAUCAAAUAAUUAUCAUCCAAGAAGAUCCUAUAGGUCUUACUUGGCACAAACACUAAUUAAAACAUAAAAACAAAUAUAAACAGAAUCUAGAUGGAUUAUUUAUUACUAAACAGAACCAAAAAGCAAGAAACUAAAAGAAAAUUGGGUUGCCUCCCAACAAGCGCUAACGUUUAACGCCCCUAGCUAGGCAUGAUGAUUUCAACGAUGCUCACAUAAGAGAUAGGAAUUGAAACAUAAAGAUAGCAUCAUGAAGAAUAUGACUAGUACAUUUAAGUCUAACCCACUUCCUAUGCAUAGGGAUUUUGUGAGCAAACAACUUAUGGGAACAAGAAUCAACUUGCAUAGGAAGGCAAAACAAGCAUAACUUCAAAACUUUAAGCACAUAGAGAGGAAACUUGAUAUUAUUGCAAUUCCUACAAGCAUAUGUUACUCCCUCAUAAUAGUUUUCAGUAGCAUCAUGAAUGAAUUCAACAGUAUAACCAGCACCUAAAGCAUUCUUUUCAUGAUCUACUUGCAUAAAAAAUUUAUUACUCUCCACAUAAGCAAAAUUCUUCUCAUUCGGAAUAGUGGGAGUAUCAUAAGAGACUUGAAUACUAUAAAUUGUUUCCACAUUAAAAGAGUAAUGUUCAGAAAAAAGGUAAUCAUAAUCAUGACAAGUUUUAUAAAUAUAAUCAUUACUACUCUUUAUAGCAUAAGUUUCAUCACAAUAAUCAUCAUAAGUAGCAACUUUGUUCUCAUCAUAAUCAAUAGUGGACUCAUCACUAAAUAAAGUCAUGACCUCUCCAAAUCCACUUUCAUAAUUAUCAUAAUAAGAUUCAACAUCCUCCAAAAUAGUGGGAUCAUUACUUCCUAAAGUUUACACUCUUCCAAACCCACUUUUAUCAAUAUAAUCAUCAUAAGUAGGAGGCAUGCUAUCAUCAUUAUAAAUUUGCAUAUCAAAACUUGGGAGACUAAAAAUAUCAUCCUCAUUAAACUUAGCAUCCCCAAGCUUGGGACAAACAUUAAUUGCAGAAAAUAUAUUCUCAAAAGCAUCAUAAUCAUCAAACAUAGCAUCCCCAAGCUUGGGCCUUUUCAUAUCAUAAGCAUAAUCACUCUCAUCAUUAAUAGUAUGGAUAGCACCAAUAGUAUAGCAAUUAUCAUAUUCUUCCAAGCAAGUGCCAAAAAGAUUUUCAAGAUCAUAAGGAGUAUCAUUAUCUUCCCAAUCAUAAUCAUCACAACAAGCAAUAGGCAUAAUGAGAUCAUCAUCAAGUGCAUCAUCUUCCACAAUUAUUUUUGAUUCAUUUUCAUGAGGCACAACAAUAAUAGGAGCAACAUUAUUUAGGAGAGAUAUCUUUUUACCUCUCUUCCUUUUUCUUUUCUUCUUCUUCACCACAUCAUGUGUGGGUUCAAUCCUCUUUUUGGAGCCCCUUAUUAAUGAGAUUGGUUGAAUAGAAGGCUCCUCCUCAUUACCUGAUUCAUCAUAAGAAAUAAUAGGAGAAUAUUGGGAAGUCUCUUCCCUUUCGUUAGUAUUCUCUUCAUCUUCUAUUUGUUUUCUUUUCUUUAUGUAAUUGGCAAUAUAAGGAUUUUCGAUGCAAUUCACCGCACAAUACAUAUAAAUUUCUUCUAGAUCAAUAUAGAGGAAUUUCUCAAGGUUAUAUUCUGGAAUAUGCUUAGUUUGACAUUUCAUUUCUUCAUAACCCAAAAGCAAACUAAGUUCAUUAUGAUGUGCAAGGGAAAUCAAAUCAUCACAAUUUUUGGACACGAUUCGAUCAUGAAACAAUUUGCAUUUGAUAUUUAAAUGACCAUGUUCAUUGCAAAGUUCACAAGUACGGUAAAGAUAUUUUAAAUUUUCAGCACUCACAUUUAGCCUUUUCUUGCAACCAUUUAGUUUCUAAAUGCUUAUGCCUCUUGCAAUAUCUAUCUUCCCUAUUUGGUAUGUAGUUGCAAACCCAAUGCACUCCACAAAUAUUGACAUGUUUAUAGGAGACAUUUUCAUCAUAACUAGUGAAAUUAUCAUUAGUACUAUGGAUAUUCAAAGAGUUCAUACUAACAACAUUGCAAUCAUGCUCAUCAUUCAAAGAUUUAGUGCCAAACAUUUUAAUGCAUUCUUCUUCUAACACUUUGGCACAAUUUUCCUUUCCAUCAUACUCACGAAAGAUAUUAAAAAGAUGAAGCGUAUGUGGUAAACUCAAUUCCAUUUUUUUGUAGUUUUCUUUUAUAGACUAAACUAGUGAUAAAACAAGAAACAAAAAGAUUCGAUUGCAAGAUCUAACGAUAUACCUUCAAGCACUCACCUCCCCGGCAACGGCGCCAGAAACUGCUUGAUGUCUACUACACAACCUUCUUCUUGUAGACGUUGUUGGGCCUCCAAGUGCAGAGGUUUGUAGGACAGUAGCAAAUUUCCCUCAAGUGGAUGACCUAAGGUUUAUCAAUCCAUGGGAGGCGUAGGAUGAAGAUGGUCUCUCUCAAGCAACCCUGCAACCAAAUAACAAAGAGUCUCUUGUGUCCCCAACACACCAAAUACAAUGGUAAAUUGCAUAGGUGCACUAGUUCGGCGAAGAGAUGGUGAUACAAGUGCAAUAUAGAUGGCAGAUAUAGGUUUUUGUAAUCUGAAAAUAUAAAAACAACAAGGUAACUAAUAAUAAAAGUGAGCACGAACAAUAUUGCAAUGCUAGGAAACAAGGCCUAGGGUUCAUACUUUCACUAGUGCAAGUUCUCUCAACAAUAAUAACAUAAUUGGAUCAUAUAACUAUCCCUCAACAUGCAACAAAGAGUCAUUCCAAAGUCACUAAUAGCGGAGAACAAACGAAGAGAUUAUGGUAGGGUACGAAACCACCUCAAAGUUAUUCUUUCUGAUCAAUCCAUUGGGCUAUUCCUAUAAGUGUCACAAACAGCCCUAGAGUUCGUAGUAAAAUAACACCUUAAGACACACAUCAACCAAAACCCUAAUGUCACCUAGAUACCCCAAUGUCACCUCAAGUAUCCGUGGGAAUGAUUAUACGAUAUGCAUCACACAAUCUCAGAUUCAUCUAUUCAACCAACACAUAGAACCUCAAAGAGUGCCCCAAAGUUUCUACCAGAGAGUCAAGACGAAAACGUGUGGCAACCCCUAUGCAUUGGUUCAUGGGCGGAACCCGCAAGUUGAUCACCAAAACAUACAUCAAGUGGAUCAAAAGAAUACCCCAUUGUCACCACGGGUAUCCCACGCAAGACAUACAUCAAGUGUUCUCAAAUCAUUAAAAGACUCAAUCCGAUAAGAUAACUUCAAAGGGGAAACUCAAUCCAUUACAAGAGAGUAGAGGGGGAGAAACAUCAUAAGAUCCAACUACAAUAGCAAAGCUCGCGAUACAUCAAGAUCGUAUCACCUCAAGAACACGAGAGAGAGAGGGAGACCAAACACAUAGCUACUGGUACAUACCCUCAGUCCCGAGGGUGAACUACUCCCUCCUCAUCAUGGAGAGCGCCGGGAUGAUGAAGAUGGCCACCGGUGAGGGUUCCCCCCUCCAGCAGGGUGCCGGAAUAGGGUCCCGAUUGGUUUUUGGUGGCUACAGAGGCUUGCGGCGGCGGAACUCCCGAUCUAUUCUGUUCCCCGAAGGUUUUAGGGUAUAUUGGUAUAUAUAGGAGGAAGAAAUACGUCAGGGGAGCCACGAGGGGCCCACGAAGGUGGAGGGCGCGCCCAGGGGGGUGGGUGCGUCCCCCUGCCUCGUGCCUUCCUCGUUGAUCCCCUGACAUGCACUCCAAGUCUCCCUGAUUGCUUUCUUUCCAAAAAUAACUUUCCCGAAGGUUUCAUUCCGUUUGGACUCCGUUUGAUAUUCCUUUUCUUCGAAACACUAAAACAAGGGAAAAAACAGAAACUGGCACUGGGCUCUGGGUCAAUAGGUUAGUCCCAAAAGUAAUAUAAAAGUGCAUAAUAAAGCCCAUAAACAUCCAAGACGGAUAAUAUAAUAGCAUGGAACAAUCAAAAAUUCUAGAUGCGUUGGAGACGUAUCACGCACCUUCUCAGCAUCUGAGCAACCUGCGGUGGUCAACUCCCUUCCAAUACGGCGUAGCCAAUCAUCAGCAACUAUAGGCUCGGUGCUACUGGAAAACACCGGCGGCUGCAACCUCAGAAAACGAGCUAAGUUGUCAACUGGAGGCGGGUUGUUGUUGUUGUUGUUGCCUUGGUUCUGGACUAAUAAUUGCAUCAAGGCAAUCUGCUGCUGGAUCAACUGAGUGAGCUCUAGCGGGAAGGCAAAUCCGGUGUCACGUCUCGGAGGCAUCUGAUGGGUUUAGAGGGGAGAGAUUAGAAUAGAAAAGGGGUCGACAAAACACUACCCAUAUGCACAUGAGACAAACAUAAUCAUAUCACUCAAUCAAUCAAGCAAGGGCAUACAAACGGUCUAGAACUAUCGUUAAAAGUGCUCGGACUACUACUAUAUACAUGGGGGAAUACUACUAAUCAUUUGGUGGUCUACUAGAAAUUUUGAUCGGUGGACGACUCCAUGAUGUCUCCUCCAGCUUCGUCUUCAAAGUCAUCUUCACUGGGGUCGGAGUCGGUGUCAUCGAUGAUGAUGUAGUUCUCCGGGCAAGUGGAAUCGUCGUCCUCUCCUCCUGGCGCGGGGUCUCCCAUGAAUACUCUGAUCUUCUUUAUCAGGUCGUCAUUCUUCUCCAAUAGUGUUGCAAUUUCCUCCUCAUAUCCAUCGUGUGUAGACUUGAGUUCUUCUUCCAGCUCGAUGAUCCUUGUCUUCGCCUUCUUCAAAUCUAUCAUGUCUGCGCACAUCUGAUUUUCCUGGCGUCGAAUGUGCUGGUUUAACUCCUGGAUGAAAGCUGCAAUGGAUCUGUCCUUCUUGGUGCUGAUCAUUUCCCAUUGUUCAUCUCGGCGCCCACAUAUCUGGUAGAUAGUGUCCUUAAGCUCCUUACUGUAGACUUCUCCAAUACGUCCCAUGGCAAUGUGGGCUGCCAUGCUCUUGCCUACACUCCAGGUUGGUGCAUCAAAGGAAAACUCUAUGGGCUCAGUGAUUGGCACGAACGUCCUUCCUGGAACUUGAACUCGAAUCAUCCAGCGCUCCUCUUCUGGUAAAGUGGCGUUGUAGGCCCCGGUGAAGCUUGGUAUUCCGAUGUUCAGGUACCUAGUGACUUCCUUCAAGUGGCGUCCAAAGGGUGUGUCUUCAUCAGGUUGUGCAAACUUGUUCCUCGAAUCCACCAUCCUAAGAGUAGAAAAUGGAGAGGAGUCAGAAAUGAGUAGAGAAGAGUGACCUAUGGCUUAUCUUAGUGGUCGUGUCCUACACUCAGCGUGUGCUCUGAUACCAUCAUGUAGCGACCCGACCUCAAACGGUCAAGUCUCUGUGCUUCCGUGUCAUCCCUGGAUCGGUAAUGCUGACACACACAGUACUCGAAGGAUUUAUAACAGAGUAGCAAUCACACACUUAUUACAUCGAAUGUCUCAAAAGAGAACUUAUUACAAUAAAUAUGGCAUAAGGCCAUCUAAUACGAUAACAGCGGAAGGCUUGGAAGAUAAAGUGAGUCCAUCAACUCCAACGGCAUAGCUGAGCUGCACGGCAACGACCUAACGAACCUUACUCCUCGUCUGAAAAGUCUGCAACAUAAUACGUUGCAGCCCGAGGUCAGCACAUGGAAUAUGCUGGCAAUAUAACACAGUAAUGCAAGAACAGAAUAAUGCUAUCACUAUAUGCAUAUUUGGCUGGUGGAAAAGCUCUAUGGUUAUAGUUUUGCGAAAAGCCAAUUUUUCCCUACAACAAAGGAAUAAGUUUUAUUUUAAUUAUCAUGGUAGUUGAAACAUCAUUGAGAAGGUUCCUCCAACUCAAUCCCAAUUAAAAGUAAUUAUCAACCCAACAAUAUUAAAUUAGAGUGAUGAGAUACUUAUGAUAAUCCAAGUACUAGAUACUCAAGAUGUCCAUAACCGGGGACACGGCUAACCAUGAUUAGAUUGUACACCCUGCAGAGGUUUGCGCACUUUUCCCCACAAGACUCGAUUGCCUCCGUUGGAUUUCUCGCACUACAUGGUGUUUGAGAAACGGAUGACUGAGACACAGUCUUUCAGAAGCAUUCACUCUAACCCUGGGUAGACAGUACCAACCUACAUCCCUCUACAUCUGCUAGCCUACCACUUGAAGAGGUCAUGCAACGUACUCAACUAUGCUAGAGCCCAUAAUAGCUUGUGGCUGCACACGGAAGUUUCUAGCAUGAAAUAUCUCAGUUCCCUUCAACCCUGGGUGGCGGACCUUAGGAUUAUCUCACAGGUACUCCGGGAUAUCCUAGGACAACACAGGAUUCUCCAGGUGCCCGACAAGCAAUCCACCCAGAUGUGUAUUAAAGUAGCCACCUUAAGUUGAACCAUUAAUUAACCAUCUCACAUCUGUCAUGGAUUCACUCACCCAAACCACGUCUACGAGCAUAGCAUAGCAAUAUAAGCAAUACGUAGAAGUAACUCCCAAGGGUUUGAUAAUAACAGGGCAAUAGGUUCUACCUCAUCAACUACUUCCCAAUACCCACAAGUUAAUCACAUCCUAAUCAUGCAGUGUUUGAGGAUUGGAGCUAAUGCAUAAAAACUGGGUAUGAAAAGAGUAUGAUCAAUGUGUUACUUGCCUUGCUGACGAUCCGCAAAACCUAGGGACUCGUAGUAGCACGCUUCAGCACUCCGGGAAUUCUAUCGCAAACAAACAAAAGCAUACAUAAGCAAUCAAUCAUGGAUGCACGGGUAAAACUCAAAUAAGAAGAACUAACCAGAAAGUUCAACUUAAGAACUCCGGUUUGCAAAAAGAAUCAAAUCAAACGGAGCAACGAAACUCAAACUGCGAAAGAAACAAGAUUUGUUUACUAAUCUGGACUAAAGUCAAAUUUUACUAUACCAAAAUCUUGUUCAAGUUGGUUAAACAGAAAGAGGGUUUCGAGACGAAGAUCUAGGCGCUUGAAUCGCCUGAUUCCGAUAAACGAGCGAAAAGAUAAACAAAAACAAAAAUCGGAUGAGAAAUCGCGAUCGAAAAUAAUCGUGAAAAACCCGGGAAAAAGAAAAAACGAACGAUUAGGCUAACGAACGAGCGUUUAUUGUCUGUGACUAGCGGGCGAAAACCGUUCAUUAAAACGAACGUACGGACGAACGUCCACUAAAUAAACUAAACCGAGAAAACCAACGAACCGGUCUAAAAAACAUAACUAGGGUUAAAAAACCGACGGUUUUUACCUAAACUGAAAAGAACCAGGCGGCGAGAUUUGCGAACUCCGACGCGGCUCCGGCGGCUUCUGGCAAGCGGGGCGGCGGCGCGGGCGACGGUGGGGUGGCGCGGGUGGUGCGGCGGCGAGGCGGGCGGCGNNNNNNNNNNNNNNNNNNNNNNNNNNNNNNNNNNNNNNNNNNNNNNNNNNNNNNNNNNNNNNNNNNNNNNNNNNNNNNNNNNNNNNNNNNNNNNNNNNNNNNNNNNNNNNNNNNNNNNNNNNNNNNNNNNNNNNNNNNNNNNNNNNNNNNNNNNNNNNNNNNNNNNNNNNNNNNNNNNNNNNNNNNNNNNNNNNNNNNNNNNNNNNNNNNNNNNNNNNNNNNNNNNNNNNNNNNNNNNNNNNNNNNNNNNNNNNNNNNNNNNNNNNNNNNNNNNNNNNNNNNNNNNNNNNNNNNNNNNNNNNNNNNNNNNNNNNNNNNNNNNNNNNNNNNNNNNNNNNNNNNNNNNNNNNNNNNNNNNNNNNNNNNNNNNNNNNNNNNNNNNNNNNNNNNNNNNNNNNNNNNNNNNNNNNNNNNNNNNNNNNNNNNNNNNNNNNNNNNNNNNNNNNNNNNNNNNNNNNNNNNNCGGGAGGGGCCGGGAGGUGUCCUGGGCGGCGACGGCGGCGGCUGCCGAGUCCUGGCCGGACUCAGGCACGGCGGAGGCGGUGGCGCGGCGUGGGCCGGCCUGGCUCGGCUGGGCCUUGGCCCAGUCAGGCGCGGAAGUUAAAAAAAAACAGAUUCCGCCGAAAAGAGAUCCUAGAAAAAUAAAUAAAAAUCUAAAAAUACAAAAACAAAUUUUCACCGUCUAAAUAAAAUAUUUAGAACAAGAUGAACUUUUUUUUGCCCUAAAAUGCAAUUUUUGAAAAAUGCAUAAUUUUCCUAUGCAAAUAAAAUAGCAAUAAAAUCCGAAUAAAAUCAAAUAUUUGAUUUUAAUAUUUUUCCUCCAAUAUUUCAUUUAUUUUGGAGAAGUCAUUUUAUCUCCUCUCAUAUAUUUUAAUAUGAAAUAUUUUCAGAGAGAAAAAUAAUUAAAACAAAUAAUCCUCGUUUCAAUAUUUGAUAAAAUUCAAAUAUGAAAACAGUGAAAUCCCCAACUCUCUCCGAGGGUCCUUGAGUUGCUUAGAAUUUUGAGGAUCGCGAAACGAAAUGCAACAAAAAUAUGUUAUGCAUGAAUGAUCUAUGUAUAACAUUCCAAAUUGAAAAUUUGGGAUGUUACACAGGACUUUUGGAGUUGUGCAGAAUAUGCCUCUAAUAUUUGCUCCUUUUCCAGCCAAGAAUUCCAGCUGCCGGCAUUCUCCCUCUUCAUAUAAACCUUGCAAAAUAAGAGAGAAUAGACAUAAGUAUUGUGACAUAAUGUGUAAUAACAGCCCAUAAUGAAAUAAAUAUUGAUAUAAAAGCAUGAUACAAAAUGGACGUAUCAACUCCCCAAGCUUAGACCUCGCUUGUCCUCAAGCGGAAGCCGAUAACGAUAAAUAUGCCCACAUGUUUAGAGAUAGAGGUGUCGAUAAAAUAAAAUACGGACAUGAGGGCAUCAUGAUCAUUUUUAUAACAGCAACAUAUAUAAAUAUUGUCAUAUGAUUUCUUAUGCUCAAGUAAUAAUCUAUCCACAAUGUCAAGUAUGAAUCAGAAACUUCAUUGAAAACCAACAAACUACAAUCUCAGUCAUUGAAGGAAUUGCAAUUUAUCAUAACAUAGGAAAGAGUCCAUGUAAGAGCUUUUCAGCAAGUUCACAUAUUCAACCAUCAUUUAGUCUUUCACAAUUGCUGACACUCACGCAAUACUUAUGGUUAUGGAGUUUCAAUCGGACACAGAGAAAGAUAGGGGCUUAUAGUUUCGCCUCCCAACCUUUUACCUCGAGGGUAAUGUCAACAAUAAUAACUCAUGCUAACUUAUAUCCAAUUGGAUAUAUAUAUCAGGAUCUUUCCAACACAAUGUGCUUACCAAAGGAUAAAAUGUAAAAAGGAAAGGUGAAGAUCACCAUGACUCUUGCAUAAAGUAGAAGAUAAUAGUAAAAGAUAGGCCCUUCGCAGAGGGAAGCAGAGGUUGUCAUGCGCUUUCAGGGUUGGAUGCACAAAAUCUUAAUGCAAAAGAACGUAACUUUAUAUUGCCACUUGUGAUAUGGACCUUUAUUAUGCAGUCCGUCGCUUUUAUUUCUUCCACAUCACAAGAUCGUAUAAAGCUUAUUUUCGCCCACACUAAUAAGUCAUACAUAUUUAGAGAGCAAUUUUUGUUGCUUGCACCGAUGACAACUUACUUGAAGGAUCUUACUCAAUCCAUAGGUAGAUACGGUGGACUCUCAUGGCAAAACUGGUUUUAAGGGUAUUUGGAAGCACAAGUAGUAUCUCUACUUGGUGCAAAGAAUUGGCUAGCAUGAGGGAGAAAGGCAAGAUCAACAUGUUGGAUGAUCCAUGACAAUAUACUUUAUCUCAGAUGUAAGAAAACAUAACCCAUUACGUUGUCUUCCUUGUCCAACGUCAACUCUUUAGCAUGUCAUAUUUUAAUGAGUGCUCACAAUCAUAAAAGAUGUCCAAGAUAGUAUAUUUAUAUGUGAAACCUCUCUUUGUUUAUUACUUCCUAUUAAUUGCAACGAUGACCAAAACUAUGUUUGUCAACGCUCAACAACUUUUAAUCAUCAUACUCUCUCUAUGUGAAGUCAUUACUCUUCAUAAGAUCAAUAUGAUAUCUUUAUUUCUUUUUAUUCUUUCUUUUUCUUUCAUUCACUCAAGAUCAUAGCAAGAUAAUCAAGCCCUUGACUCAACACUAAUCUUUAUUAUAUAGCUCACGGACUUGAUUACAUAGAGGGAUCAUAAAGCAAAACUCACGACUAGAUCAUACUAAAACUUUAUUUUACUAGAUCAAGAUAAUACCAAAAGGAUCGAACUAAGAAAAAGGGUAAAGAUAGGAGUGCGAUGGUGAUACGAUACCGGGGCACAUCCCCCAAGCUUGGCAGUUGCCAAGGGGAGUGCCCAUACCCAUGUGAUUAUAUCUCCUUUGCUGGUGAAGAUGAUGGUGGUGAUGAUGGAUAGUCGCACAUUGAGCGUAAGAGAUCCUCCAACUUGCGGAUAAUGCCCUUGAGUCCGACGAUAUGAUCCUUCAACAAAAAAAAAA